UAGCCUUAUGGUAGAGGGUUCUCUGCCUUU
Molecule: non-coding RNA, 30 nt
Filed under: Mus musculus (house mouse)
Lineage: Eukaryota; Metazoa; Chordata; Mammalia; Rodentia; Muridae
Source: RNAcentral